This 460-nucleotide ribosomal RNA is filed under the name uncultured bacterium. RNAcentral's name for it is "partial 16S ribosomal RNA". It matches the Rfam family "Bacterial small subunit ribosomal RNA", at positions 338 to 795 of the family's 1533-position model. The record is from RNAcentral.
CCUACGGGAGGCAGCAGUGAGGAAUAUUGGUCAAUGGACGAGAGUCUGAACCAGCCAAGUAGCGUGAAGGAUGACUGCCCUAUGGGUUGUAAACUUCUUUUAUAUGGGAAUAAAAUGUUCCACGUGUGGGAUUUUGUAUGUACCAUAUGAAUAAGGAUCGGCUAACUCCGUGCCAGCAGCCGCGGUAAUACGGAGGAUCCGAGAGUUAUCCGGAUUUUUUGGGGUUAAAGGGAGCGUAGGUGGAUUUUUAAGUCAGUUGUGAAAGUUUGCGUCUCAACCGUAAAAUUGCAGUUGAAACUGGCAGUCUUGAGUACGGUAGAGGUGGGCGGAAUUCGUGGUGUAGCGGUGAAAUGCUUAGAUAUCACGAAGAACUCCGAUUGCGAAGGCAGCUCACUGGACUGCAACUGACACUGAGGCUCGAAAGUGUGGGUAUCAAACAGGAUUAGAUACCCGGGUAGUC